This 472-nucleotide ribosomal RNA is filed under the name Escherichia coli. RNAcentral describes it as "bacterial SSU rRNA". The record is from RNAcentral. Lineage: Bacteria; Pseudomonadati; Pseudomonadota; Gammaproteobacteria; Enterobacterales; Enterobacteriaceae.
GCUGGCGGCAGGCCUAACACAUGCAAGUCGAACGGUAACAGGAAGMAGCUUGCUKCUUUGCUGACGAGUGGCGGACGGGUGAGUAAUGUCUGGGAAACUGCCUGAUGGAGGGGGAUAACUACUGGAAACGGUAGCUAAUACCGCAUAACGUCGCAAGACCAAAGAGGGGGACCUUCGGGCCUCUUGCCAUCGGAUGUGCCCAGAUGGGAUUAGCUWGUWGGUGGGGUAACGGCUCACCUAGGCGACGAUCCCUAGCUGGUCUGAGAGGAUGACCAGCCACACUGGAACUGAGACACGGUCCAGACUCCUACGGGAGGCAGCAGUGGGGAAUAUUGCACAAUGGGCGCAAGCCUGAUGCAGCCAUGCCGCGUGUAUGAAGAAGGCCUUCGGGUUGUAAAGUACUUUCAGCGGGGAGGAAGGGAGUAAAGUUAAUACCUUUGCUCAUUGACGUUACCCGCAGAAGAAGCACCGG